GAUGAACGCUGGCGGCGUGCCUAAUACAUGCAAGUCGAGCGAACGGACGAGAAGCUUGCUUCUCUGAUGUUAGCGGCGGACGGGUGAGUAACACGUGGAUAACCUACCUAUAAGGCUGGGAUAACUUCGGGAAACCGGAGCUAAUACCGGAUAAUAUUUUGAACCGCAUGGUUCAAAAGUGAAAGACGGUCUUGCUGUCACUUAUAGAUGGAUCCGCGCUGCAUUAGCUAGUUGGUAAGGUAACGGCUUACCAAGGCAACGAUGCAUAGCCGACCUGAGAGGGUGAUCGGCCACACUGGAACUGAGACACGGUCCUGACUCCUACGGGAGGCAGCAGUAGGGAAUCUUCCGCAAUGGGCGAAAGCCUGACGGAGCAACGCCGCGUGAGUGAUGAANGUCUUCGGAUCGUAAAACUCUGUUAUUAGGGAAGAACAUAUGUGUAAGUAACUGUGCACAUCUUGACNGUACCUAAUCAGAAAGCCACGGCUAACUACGUGCCAGCAGCCGCGGUAAUACGUAGGUGGCAAGCGUUAUCCGGAAAUAUUGGGCGUAAAGCGCGCGUAGGCGGUUUUUUAAGUCUGAUGUGAAAGCCCACGGCUCAACCGUGGAGGGUCAUUGGAAACUGGAAAACUUGAGUGCAGAAGAGGAAAGUGGAAUUCCAUGUGUAGCGGUGAAAUGCGCAGAGAUAUGGAGGAACACCAGUGGCGAAGGCGACUUUCUGGUCUGUAACUGACGCUGAUGUGCGAAAGCGUGGGGAUCAAACAGGAUUAGAUACCCUGGUAGUCCACGCCGUAAACGAUGAGUGCUAAGUGUUAGGGGGUUUCCGCCCCUUAGUGCUGCAGCUAACGCAUUAAGCACUCCGCCUGGGGAGUACGACCGCAAGGUUGAAACUCAAAGGAAUUGACGGGGACCCGCACAAGCGGUGGAGCAUGUGGUUUAAUUCGAAGCAACGCGAAGAACCUUACCAAAUCUUGACAUCCUCUGACCCCUCUAGAGAUAGAGUUUUCCCCUUCGGGGGACAGAGUGACAGGUGGUGCAUGGUUGUCGUCAGCUCGUGUCGUGAGAUGUUGGGUUAAGUCCCGCAACGAGCGCAACCCUUAAGCUUAGUUGCCAUCAUUAAGUUGGGCACUCUAAGUUGACUGCCGGUGACAAACCGGAGGAAGGUGGGGAUGACGUCAAAUCAUCAUGCCCCUUAUGAUUUGGGCUACACACGUGCUACAAUGGACAAUACAAAGGGCAGCGAAACCGCGAGGUCAAGCAAAUCCCAUAAAGUUGUUCUCAGUUCGGAUUGUAGUCUGCAACUCGACUACAUGAAGCUGGAACCGCUAGUAAUCGUAGAUCAGCAUGCUACGGUGAAUACGUUCCCGGGUCU
Molecule: ribosomal RNA, 1372 nt
Filed under: uncultured bacterium
Lineage: Bacteria
Description: bacterial SSU rRNA
Rfam family: Bacterial small subunit ribosomal RNA
Source: RNAcentral